This 1294-nucleotide ribosomal RNA is filed under the name metagenome. Its description in RNAcentral is "bacterial SSU rRNA". It matches the Rfam family "Bacterial small subunit ribosomal RNA", at positions 209 to 1498 of the family's 1533-position model. The record is from RNAcentral.
CUUUUGCUUCGUCUUAGGAUGAGCUCGCGGUCUAUUAGCUAGUUGGUAGGGUAAUAGCCUACCAAGGCGACGAUAGAUAGCCGGCCUGAGAGGGUGUACGGCCACAUUGGGACUGAGACACGGCCCAGACUCCUACGGGAGGCAGCAGCUAAGAAUAUUCCGCAAUGGGAGCAAUCCUGACGGAGCGACGCCGCGUGGAUGAUGAAGGCCGAAAGGUUGUAAAAUCCUUUUAUAUGGGAAGAAUAAAAGCAAGAGUAGAAUGCUUGUUUGAUGACGGUACCAUAUGAAUAAGCCCCGGCUAACUAUGUGCCAGCAGCCGCGGUAAUACGUAGGGGGCAAGCGUUGUUCGGAUUUACUGGGCGUAAAGGGCAUCUAGGCGGUUAUGUAAGUGUGGAUUAAAAGGCAGAGGCUUAACCUCUUGUUCGGUCUGCAAACUACAUAACUAGAGUACAGAAGGGGAAACUGGAAUUCCGCAAGUAGGGGUGAAAUCUGUAGAUAUGCGGAAGAAUACCGGUGGCGAAGGCGAGUUUCUGGUCUGUAACUGACGCUGAAAUGCGAAAGUGCGGGGAGCAAACAGGAUUAGAUACCCUGGUAGUCCGCACCGCAAACGUUGUACACUAGGUGUUAGAGGAGUUAUCCUCUAGUGUCGUAGCUAACGCGUUAAGUGUACCGCCUGGGGAGUAUGCUCGCAAGGGUGAAACUCAAAGGAAUUGACGGGGGCCCGCACAAGCGGUGGAGCAUGUGGUUCAAUUCGAUACGCGAAAAACCUUACCUGGGCCUGACAUAUACCGGACAGCUGUAGAGAUACAGCCUCCCUUUGGGUCGGUAUACAGGUGCUGCAUGGCUGUCGUCAGCUCGUGUUGUGAGAUGUUGGGUUAAGUCCCGCAACGAGCGCAACCCUUACUGCUAGUUGCCAUCAGGUAAUGCUGGGAACUCUAGUGGAACUGCCGGUGACAAACCGGAGGAAGGUGGGGAUGACGUCAAGUCCUCAUGGCCCUUAUGUCCAGGGCCACACACGUGCUACAAUGGGCUGUACAAAAGGUUGCAAUACCGCAAGGUGGAGCCAAUCCUAAAAAACAGUCCUCAGUUCAGAUUGGAGUCUGCAACUCGACUCCAUGAAGCUGGAAUCGCUAGUAAUCGCAGAUCAGAAUGCUGUGGUGAAUGCGUUCCCGGGCCUUGUACACACCGCCCGUCACACCAUCCGAGUAGAGGACACCCGAAGUUAUUACCCUAACCGCAAGGAGGGGGGUACCUAAGGUGUGUUUUGUGAGGAGGGUGAAGUCGUAACAAGGUA